GAAUCUCCUAUCAGGAAAAUCAAAAGAUUUAUGUUGAAUCAUAAUCCUCAGUAAAAUGUUCAAAACUUUGCUGAUCUUCACAGGUCCAAAAGAAAGUCGGCGAGUCUCUUCCAAGCCCAGAGCAUCACCAAGUCCAGAUGUACCACACACAAAACCUGUUUUGGCACCUACAACAUUUACAGUUGAACAACCAAAGACAGCAACAGCUCCUAAAGAACCACAACGUACUCCCUUUAAACCUAAAGCAACUCCCAUCCCAGAUGUUCCACACAGCAAGCCUGGUAAAUUAUUUGGUCUUUUGUCAAGCUGCGGUUGAUAGUUGAGCAGGGUGGGCAGGGGGAGUUGUCAG
This 349-nucleotide long non-coding RNA is filed under the name Athene cunicularia (burrowing owl). RNAcentral's name for it is "lncRNA (ENSACUG00000014692.1)". The record is from RNAcentral. Lineage: Eukaryota; Metazoa; Chordata; Aves; Strigiformes; Strigidae.